GUGGGGAAUAUUGCGCAAUGGGCGAAAGCCUGACGCAGCGACGCCGCGUGGGUGAUGAAGGUCUUCGGAUCGUAAAGCCCUGUGGGAGAGGAAAGAACAACCUGAGGUAACGCUCAGGCCUGACGGUACCUCUCCAGAAAGCACCGGCUAACUCCGUGCCAGCAGCCGCGGUAAUACGGAGGGUGCGAACGUUGUUCGGAAUUACUGGGCGUAAAGCGCGUGUAGGCGGCGCAGCAAGUCAGAUGUGAAAUCCCUUGGCUCAACUGAGGAAGUGCAUUUGAAACUGCCGUGCUAGAGUACGGGAGAGGGCUGUAGAAUUCCCGGUGUAGAGGUGAAAUUCGUAGAUAUCGGGAGGAAUACCAGUGGCGAAGGCGGCAGCCUGGACCGAUACUGACGCUGAGAUGCGAAAGCGUGGGGAGCAAACAGGAUUAGAUACCCGAGUAGUCC
Molecule: ribosomal RNA, 447 nt
Filed under: uncultured bacterium
Lineage: Bacteria
Description: bacterial SSU rRNA
Rfam family: Bacterial small subunit ribosomal RNA
Source: RNAcentral